Stegostoma tigrinum is the source of this 403-nucleotide long non-coding RNA. RefSeq lists it as uncharacterized. Lineage: Eukaryota; Metazoa; Chordata; Chondrichthyes; Orectolobiformes; Stegostomatidae. The transcript has 3 exons. The record is from RefSeq and is a predicted model, not a curated record.
CAUGGAGCUGAAUAACCUUUGCUGAACCAUAAAACUGAUAGGCAAAUCUAAAGGAACAAGUGCAAUUUAUUCUAACUUGUUUUUUUAAAAAAACGUUACAUGUAAGUAUACAAGUUAUGUAUCAGUAAGCUUCGCAUGGUCAAGAAGAACACAAUCAACUCCAGUGUGAGACACAGCCUGAGUUGCCUGGAAGAGAGCAGGCAUACUCUGGAUUUGCGGAGUAAUCCGUACUCAACAUCAGGAGGAAAAACUUGACUGCUGACAACACAGCACGAAUAUUUGAAAGCUCCCUGUCUAAUCUCACACAACAACUUUUGGAAGCCCAAAGAGUAGAAAGCUGAGUCAGAAGUAACGCUCCCUUUACCAGAGUGAACUAAAAAGGUGAUUCUGAUCAGCAGUUCCA